This is a long non-coding RNA of Dermochelys coriacea (leatherback sea turtle), 1419 nucleotides long. RefSeq lists it as uncharacterized. The record is from RefSeq and is a predicted model, not a curated record. The transcript has 2 exons. NCBI's taxonomy places the organism in Eukaryota, Metazoa, Chordata, Testudines, Dermochelyidae.
UGUGAGCAUUCUGGGCCUGCCAUACAAUUUCCAUACCCAGAUGUGGCCCUCGGACCAAAAAGUUUGCCCACCCCUGAUACAUACAGAUAUAAAUAAAGUUCUUAAGUCAGUUUCGUAGUAGAGAUGGUGAGCUUCAAAGUUGCAAAAGUUCCUUCAGAAUUAGUUCCAUAGGUUAUAGUCUAAUGUCGAAUAUCAUGGUUACCCAGACUGGAGCUGGGGACCUCAGUCUUGUGUCUCUUGUUUGCCCAAAGCUGGGAUUGCGUGGCAGGGCGUGGAUCACUUGAUGAUGACCUGUCUGUUCAUUCCCUUGGGGCACCUGCCAUUGGCCACUGUCAGAGGACAGGAUACUGGGCUUGAUGGACCUUUGGUCUGACCCAGUAUGGCUGUUCCUAUGUUCUUAUGUCUCAAACUUCCCCUGAUGAAUCUUAAGCAGAUCUGAGAUACAGGAUCAGGGCCCAAGAGUUUUUUUUAUAGCUUUCCUUAGGUGCAGCAUUGUGGCUUUGAAGUAGAACCUCCUAUUUCCUAUGUGGUAACUAGUUUCAUUCAUCAACAUAAGGUAAUUAUCCAUUAAGUAGUUCAAAGACAGUUUGUAGUAAACUUAAAAGAAAAAUAUAGAUAAUAAUAUUAUGACAUUCAGGUUUCAUAUAGAUGUUAAUAUUCUCUUUUUGAUCCUUGAAUCAAUAGUAGUAACAGACAGGAACCGUCUAUUUACAUGGUUAACAUCUGACAAGAUGUUAGUUAAUACAUACAAUUAGUAUUACCCUUAAUUCUCUUACAAUACAGGUUUGCAUUUCAAAGCUCUAGUUUAUCUAACAUUAUGAAAUGUCCCUAAUUACCAUUGACAUGCUUUUCUCACAUGUCUCUAAAGGUUGAAUGUGGGUCAUUUAGCCUAUAAUUGCUUAACCAUUUCUGUCUCAAUGUCACAGAGGGUUUCAAAGCCUCAGGUCCAUCCUGAGCCUGAAUGCCUACACUGCUAGUUUUAGCUCUGCAGCUCAAGAUCCCAAUUAAUUUGACACAGGCUCUGAGACUCAGUGCCACAGAGCUUUUUAUUGCAGUGUAGAUAUACCCUUAGCUGCUUCUCCAGUGCAAAGGAAUUGAGGGGAUUUGGAGCAGCGUUGCCCUUCUAUAGCUUCAGGAGGGGUCACAGGGAGGCAUAGGGGAUUUGUACUGCCCUGACAGGCACUGCUGCAGGAAAGUCUCUUGCUCCUAUGUGUUAGGUGUGAACACACUUGAGUAGAAUACAAAUCUUCAUCCACUUCUUGAAGAACAACAGUUACAGAACAGGUAAACAACCUUUUUUCACCUGUAAUUCCUGAGCCUUGGGCAGCUCUAAUAGUAAUAAUACUACUUCAAAGUGCUUUAUAAACAAAUUAUUACUCCUGAGGGCAUUCUGUGCCAAAAAAUUAAAAAUUCUGCACC